This 499-nucleotide ribosomal RNA is filed under the name uncultured Desulfobulbus sp. RNAcentral describes it as "bacterial SSU rRNA". It matches the Rfam family "Bacterial small subunit ribosomal RNA", at positions 888 to 1382 of the family's 1533-position model. Lineage: Bacteria; Pseudomonadati; Thermodesulfobacteriota; Desulfobulbia; Desulfobulbales; Desulfobulbaceae. The record is from RNAcentral.
CCCGCUCAGAAACUCAAAGGAAUUGACGGGGCCCGCACAAGCGGUGGAGUAUGUGGUUUAAUUCGAUGCAACGCGAAGAACCUUACCUGGUCUUGACAUCCCGGAGACCCUUAGGAAACUAGGGGGUGCUUCCAUCUGGAAGAAUCUGGAGACAGGUGCUGCAUGGCUGUCGUCAGCUCGUGUCGUGAGAUGCUGGGUUAAGUCCCGCAACGAGCGCAACCCUUGCCUUUAGUUGCCAGCAGUUCGGCUGGGCACUCUAAAGGGACUGCCGGUGUUAAACCGGAGGAAGGUGGGGAUGACGUCAAGUCCUCAUGGCCUUUAUGACCAGGGCUACACACGUACUACAAUGGCCGAUACAAAGGGCAGCGACACUGCGAGGUGAAGCCAAUCCCGUAAAAUCGGUCUCAGUCCGGAUUGGAGUCUGCAACUCGACUCCAUGAAGUUGGAAUCGCUAGUAAUCGUGGAUCAGCAUGCCACGGUGAAUACGUUCCCGGGCCUU